CCCUUAGGUGUCCUGGGCUGCACGCGCGCUACACUGAUGUGUCCAGUAAGCACCUAACCUCUUCCGAAAGGAACGGGUAACCUUUGCAAAGCACAUCGUGAUGGGGAUAGAUUAUUGCAAUUAUUAGUCUUGAACGAGGAAUUCCUAGUAAGCACAAGUCAUCAGCUUGUGUUGAUUACGUCCCUGCCCUUUGUACACACCGCCCGUCGCUCCUACCGAUUGAAUGUUCCAGUGAGCUCUUCGGACUGCGCGGUCUGCAGUUUCUGCGUUCCGUGCGGAAAGUUGCGCAAACCUUAACAUUUAGAGGAAGGAGAAGUCGUAACA
This 324-nucleotide ribosomal RNA is filed under the name uncultured eukaryote. RNAcentral describes it as "partial 18S ribosomal RNA". It matches the Rfam family "Eukaryotic small subunit ribosomal RNA", at positions 1470 to 1796 of the family's 1831-position model. The record is from RNAcentral.